AUGGCUUUGCCUAUUGACCAUGCACAACAUCCUGUGUAAUGUAAAUGUGCUUAAGGAAGGAGUAAUUUAAAUGGAAGAUAAAAUACAGAAGUAAAAAAGAAAAUAAAGAAGGAAAUAAACGUGAUUCUUUUCAAAGUUCUUUUUGAGAUAUUACAGCAAUACAAAUGAAAUCAUAUCUCUUGUACACAGCAGCUGGGGAGUAAGAGGGCACUCUGUAGGUACUUUUUCUGGUCCUUCUAGGUUGUAGUACCAACCAUUAGCUGAAUCUUCAUGAAUCUAAUGGAGAAGAUACUCAGGAAUCUGUAGUGUCCAUUUCUUAAUCUUUGUAGGUUUGAGGAGAUAUAUUGUGAAAAUAAGCAGGAGAGGGAAAUGCAACUGACAUCAUUCAGCACAAAGUACAUAGAAUGCUACGUCCCCUGUGGGUAUCAGUGGCCUUGCCAAUUGCAGGGCAGAUACGUACAUAUUUUUAUCUUUCAUUUUGACUUUAAACUGUGCUAUUUGUAAGAAAUGGUCAUUGUCUUGAGUUGGUUUUGUGUACAAGUGCAUAUGAGAAUGUAUUCCAACAAUUAUUUUCUGGAUGCUUUAAGAAAAAACAAAAUCACCUCCCGCUGAUAAGAAGUCUUCAAAGGAGACUGGAUUUGGUAUACCAAAAUUCAUGGUGGACUGAUUAACAAGAGCCCCAUAGUGCUGUGUCUGCUCCAUCCUCAGAUAAUAUGUUUAUAAUACAUUAAAUAUAUCAGAAUUGGGAAAUGCAUAAAUGGAUACUACUGUGUUUACCAAGUAUUUCUUGGAGAAGAGAGAUGAUUCCUGGGGUAAGACUUUCUCCCAUGAGUAGUGGUGGUGUCUGAUUGUGGAGAAAUCAUGCUGCUCUCAGCAGGUGUGGGAGGAGGAGGAGCCCAGGGGACCUGUCAAUGUUGUGCCUGCAUUUCAUGUGUAGCAAGCUAUUUUCAUUAAGAUUGCAUGUAUAUGUAGAAUAAUUUGAAGGAGAGGAUCAUGGAGAAAAACCCCACUUCUACUUGCACAUGUGUUUACACACACACACACACACACACACACACAGAGCCACUGUAUGUAACUCAGGAUGAGAGAAAUAUUAGGAACUAGGUGGAUAGAGCCUGUACAAAGUAAAAUAUAUUCAGUCUUAUCUGUUGGACUGUAAGAAAAACUAUAUGUUCAUAUUUCAUUUGAAUUCUUUAACUUAUUAUAAGUUACUCCAGUUGUUGAGUAAAGUCUGGAAUAUCUUGACAGAUCUGUAUUGUGGUGGUACACGUAGAAGUGAGGGGUGGCAAUAUAAAGGAAAAUCAGUAGGGUGACCAUACCCUUUGUUUUUCAAGCAGAGACAAUUUUGCAGAAAGAAAGAAAGUGCUGGUAAUAAAUAUUCCAAGGCAACUGUUAAAACCCAGGUUGACCAGCACCUAUUGUCGUCCGAAAAAUGAGGCCUCCCUUUUUGGAGAUGAUAGCCUUGCAGAGGACUCUGUCUUGUUACAGCAAUGUGUAGAAGCAUUCUGAGUCUGUGUGUUCUAGGGUGUGAGCAGAAGUGAAGAAAUGAUCUGUGACAGAGGACAGAGCAAUGGUAGGGAUCUGGGAUCAUGAUGGCCAAUCGUAACCCCUCUUUUCAUUCAUUUCCCCUCAUUUACUCCAAAUAACUAAAGGAAUCUUUUGGUUUUUGUCUCUGACUGACUUGUUUCAUUUAGCAUAAUACUCUCAGGUUCCAUCUGUAUUGUAGCAAAAGGCAGGCUUUCCUACUUUUUUAUGACUGAGUAGUAUCCACUCUACAUUUUUCUUUUCAUAUAUUUAUGUAUAUGUGUGUGUGAACACACAUAUAUACAAAGUAAUAUGUAUAUCCGUUGAUGGAAACUUAGGUUGUUUCCAUGUCUUGGCUACUGUUAAUAGUACUGCAAUGAAUAUGAGAUACAGAUAUCUUUGGGAGUUAGUAAUUUUAUUUCCUUUAGCUAUAUACCCAGAAGUAGAAUUUCUGGAUCAUAUGGUGAUUAUAUUCUAAUUUUUUGAGGAGCUUCUAUACUGUUUUCCAUAGUGGCUACACCAAUUUAUAUUUCCACCAACAUUCAUGAGAUGUAAUACAGAGCAUAGAGAUUAUAGCUGACUAUACUACAUUGUAUAUUUGAAAGUUACUAAGAGAGUUCUCGUCACAAGGAAUAAUCAUUUCUCUCUAUAUGAGGUGAUGGAUGUUAACACAACUUAUUGUAAUUAAUUUAUAAUAUAUGCAUGUAUUAAACCAUUAGAUUGUAUACCUUAAACUUAUAAAAUGUCAUGUAUCAAUUAUAUCUCAAUAAAAAUGGAGAAAAACAUACUAAACCCAUACUUUAUGUGGGUUACAAAAGAAAGAGCUGUGGUGAAAACAUUGAAAUAAGUGACCAGGGCAGCCAGUAAGUCAAAAAAAAUAUGUUCAUAUAGAAAUCCUCAUUUCACUAUGCACAGAUUCUUAAAAAAAGGAUGAAGGAAAAUCCUUCCUUACAUAAGCUUUCUUUUAUUGCUUGCUCUCCAGAGAGAGAGAGAAUGAGCUGCGGUUUUUGAGAAGUUGGUGAUUUAGUGGAGAAGUUGGUAAACCAUGUACAAAGUUCCUUCUGUCCUUUCUCAGUAGGUGCCAUGGGUACUGGAGUGUCUGGCUGGGGUGGGUCCUGCCAUCUGGUGACCCUGUUGGCAUGUAAUCAUCCUCCACUUUCUAUUCCGAAGGAAAAUACUUACAACUUUCUCACUAGAAAAGACAAUUCCACUUAAUAUUCUUGGAGGUAGAAUCUGUCUCAGCAAGAUAGAAUUAUUUAGCUUCUUUGAGUUUAGAUUCCAGAAAUGGCUAUAAAACUAUCAUUUGUAAGGACAUGCCACUAUAAUUUAUAUAGACAGAGGUCAUUAUAGUGAUUCAGUGUUCCAAUCAUCUUGAUAAUGGAUCCUAAUUAUUAUACUCUUCUAGUACCUAAAAACAAUUGCAAACUAGAAUGAAAACCAUUUGAAGAACAAGAAUAUUUUAAUAUUUCUAUUUUUAUCACAACUCUGAUUUUUGAAGAAAAAAGUAAAUUAGAACUGCUAAUUAUGCAAAUCACAGAUGACCUUGUGGCUAUAAGAUGGACUGCAGAGGCAAGGCUUUUGUUAGCAAUUUAAGGUUUAUAGCUCUGAGACUUGGAGAAGAACCUAUGGGGAGAACAAGUCCCAGCUGCCAAAAUCAGAGAUUAAAAAGUGAUUAGAUUUCUUUCUUCUUUGAAAACUGAGACCCAAAUUCAGCCUUCUUGUUUACUCCUAAGAGAGCCUUCACCUAUUAGCCCUAGCUUGCUUAUGUCAUUCCUAUAUCAGUGCUUCUGGCUAGAGACCCAAAGAAAAGAACAUGUGGAAGGACUGCUAAAUCCCCUGGCACCUGCUAAUAAAGGCAAACACACUUGUGUUAGGAACCAGGGCCUCCCAACAAGGGGAGAGGGCAGACUUCCCAUCCUAAUCAGAAUUCCUUCCCAAAACAAAAGAAGAGUGAUUUUCAACUUAUACCACCACUUACUCUCUUUCCUUUCUGUUUUUGUUUGUUUUGUUUAUCUCCCGCUUUCUUCUAAAAUGUUAAGUUUAGAUUUUUGAGUGUACCUUCAAUCCUUUUAUCUUGUCGCUUUCUUGUUGUUUACUGAUAUCCUGACAAUUCUUACCACUGUUGAUGUUGUUGUUUCUGAACAUCUGUCUUUUUAAUUUUUUUUCUUCUGUAUCAAAUACUUCCAAGCUCCUUUCUACCUCACUGUUAAAUUUGCUUCUAAAAUCACAGGGGUAUUAUAAUUCAUCACACAUAGAAAUUGAAAUAUUUCUUGCAUCCAGGAAUUACAUAUUUGUAAGCCCUUCUUCAAGACUCUGAUUCUCUGUCUCUAUAUCUAUCUUAAUCUCUGUUUUUGUCCCCAACCUCGUCCCCCUCUUCAUCUAUCUCACGUUCAAUAUACAACUUGCCAAAUGUUUAUGUAAAAGGCAGACUUUAAACUUUUAGAACUAAUUUUGCUUUCUAAGCAAUCAUCCUAUGUGGAUGUUGAAAAAAUGGAAAAUUUCCAAUUAAUAAUAUGCUUGCUGGUCUCUCAUUCUUUUUCUAUGAAUUUCACAGUAAGUUCUGAAUUCAUCUCCCUCUUAAGGCUAGUUUAAAUAGUUGCUGCCUGAACAACUCUGAUCUGUUUUUAGAUAAAGUCUUUCAGAGGUCCUUUCACUUACUUGGCUAUUUUCCAAGAUGGUGAUGGUCUCCCUAACACAUUAGGAUCAUCUGGCUGGGGAGCUAUUAAAAACUCUGAUACCUAGGUCACCCCGGACAUCAUUCAUAUGAGAAUCUCUGAGACCACAGAAUCAGUUUUUAUAAAGCUUUCAACGUGUCUGAAAAGUGUUACCAAUAUGGGGACAUCCUGUAUCUGGAAAGACCUUACAGGUAACUGACUCAGCCGCUCGGCAUGCCCCCUAAACAUACCUGGAGACUUUCAAAGCCACAUAGCCAUGGGCUACCCCAGCUUUGGGGUCAAUAUUGUCUUAAUUCACUGUGAUUUGGGGUGAGAUAAGGAGCACCAAGGCAGUACCAAGAAGUUAAUGUUAUUUUGCACUCACUAUAUGCCAUUUACAUUAUUAAGUGUUUAUGAAGCUUCUUCAUUGCAACCCCAACACCUAUUAUUCCAUUUACAGGCAGUGAAAUUGAAGCUUAGAGAAACAAGGUAGCAUGCCCAAGGUCAUAAAGUUGAUAUAUGAAAGAGCUUAAUGUUCUUCUGAUGUUAAAAACCUCUGCUCUUAUAGCCAUGCACUGUAUUGACUUCCUCCAUUUAUGAUACUUAGAAUAAAGUCACUCUGCUCACAUGGCUCAAGAGAGUAACUAGUUAGUCGUCAUUGCUCCCUGGUCUGUUAUGCCUUCUCCACUGCACAUUUCCCACCCUUGCGCUUGCCUGGUUCAAGGUUCAACCACCCGCAGUCCUAUUGCUGUGCCCUUUUUGAUUCCAGAUGCUGCCAUGGUAGUUAAUCCUUACACCUGACUAUCAGUAGCUCACUUGGCUUUCAUGAGUCAGUUUCCAAUUCUUUGAAAUAGUCACUGGACUCUGUGUCUACUGCUGACAUUGGCUUCCACUCUCACAGAAUCUUUGCCAUUGCCCUUGUUCAAAUAUAUGCCAUUCACUAAAGUUUAGCAAGAACACACAGUCACAUUAGUUUCACUAACCACCUCCACAAAGAGCAAGCACCUGGCAAUUUCUUCUACCUUAGGAGCACAUGAUUCUCUCUUCCAUACAUAUCCUUUGUAUAUCUCAAACGAAAAGUUUCAGAAUAUCUACAUUAGGAACUCUUAAUAUUGAGUUGUUCUGUUUAGAAGAGAGAAUAUUUUAAGGCAGAGUUUACUCUAUUUCAAAUAAAAUGGGCCUGUAAUAAGACUCCAUCAAACCAUCUAUUCUAAGCCUCUCUGAUCUCAUGACAUUUUAAUACAAACUAUAACAUCAUUUUCUCCAAAUCUUCAUGGUGAAUGCUGUUUAAAUUAUUCCUCAUUAUAUAGUUUAUGAAAAUACAUUCUCCUAUAUAAAAAUGGGAGUAAUUUUUAGCAGCAGGCUGCAUUUAAUAUGUUAGAUUUAAUAAACAAAAUCACAUUUGUAUGUGGGGUAUUUUCCCAGAACAUAAUCAAGUAUGACAGGUUGGUUAUGAGGAGCUCAGUUCCUUGAUGUAUGUAUCAGCUUAAGAGCUUGUCACCAACCUUGACGCAUUAAUUCUAGCACUUUGUGCAAGCAAAACUUCCUGUUGUCUGCAAAACACUGUGAGCCAUUUAGCACAAGACAAGCUUUUAGCUCAUGCUACUUCUGUGACUGCACAUUCUGAAUGCAAAUACAACUCUGCAGUGGUUGCUGGCAUCAGAAUAUUAACAUAAGAAAUGUUUUCUGCCCUAUCAUGUCAGGCUAUGUCUAGGAAACAUGUUUGGUGCUCAUCAUCUCACUUUGUGUUGUUUCUACUUGAUUCCAAGACGAUUUUUAGAAAAUGACUUCAUACUCAAGGUCAGAUUGCUUUUUAGCCAAUAAAUGGUGAGUGAACUGGCAUUUUUCAAAAUCCUGCUUUAGAUAAUGGGUUCUCUCUGCCCCGCUAACUGCCCUGGUUAGAUAAUUAGACUUUGUGGUUAAGGUCAGAUUCAAGGGAAAGAAUUUACACUGUGUUGCCUGAGUCUGGUCUAAAUUGUAUGUAAUACUAAAAAAUAGUAAUUACCUGAUGCACUUCUAAUGUGCACCCAAUGGGGGAAUGACUGUGAAAUUUUAAAUUAAGGGUAAUUUUAUGAGGUUAACUUCGAAACAGAUUCAUGAGGGCUCAAAGAUCAUUUUGGUAUAAAUUCAGGCUGUUUCUAUAAUUUCUUAUGGGUUUAUUAUUUAUAAACCUUGCUUGGUGACUUGUCAUUUCAGAAAGAUCAGGUAGUAUAUUUCUUCCCAAGGCUCACCUCUUACUACAUUGUUCAGUAAGACAAAUUUAUUUCUGAUGUUUUCUUUCACCUUCUUCUUAUUGGAACCCUUCCUAUAACUCAAAGAUCCUCCUUCUGCCUCCUUCUGGUAUUUUCUCUCUGCUAAUUCCAGACUAGUCUUUAGCUGAUCCUCCUUUAAAUUAUUUGAUCCUGGAAGCAAUUGGUUUAAACUCAACAAAUGUUCAAGAGUAACCCUAAUUUUCUCCUAAUCUUUAAGGAGAAUAGAUAAAUAUUUGACA
This 6669-nucleotide long non-coding RNA is filed under the name Sus scrofa (pig). Its description in RNAcentral is "lncRNA (ENSSSCG00060066853.1)". The record is from RNAcentral. Lineage: Eukaryota; Metazoa; Chordata; Mammalia; Artiodactyla; Suidae.